UCUGAAUCUGCGUACGGCUCCGCAAACCAGUUGUAAACUAUAGCAAGCAAGCUCAGGGUUGGCCUUCACGGGCCGGCUCGGGGCGAUAUGGAUAACCCUGGUAAUUCUGAGGCUAAUACAUGAGUGUAAACCCUGGAGGACCGGCUUCGGCUGGGAAUCUGGGGGAUGUGCGAUUGCAGGCUUGGUAACACCGGGAAAGGGCGCACGUUCAGAUCACGCUAAAAAGGUCGGGCUCCUUCGGGGGCCUGCCCCAGUGACUCUUGCUGUGUGCUUCUGACCUAUCAACUAGACGGCAGCGUAAGGGACAUGCUAUGGU
This 316-nucleotide ribosomal RNA is filed under the name Lamproderma sauteri. RNAcentral describes it as "bacterial SSU rRNA". It matches the Rfam family "Eukaryotic small subunit ribosomal RNA", at positions 80 to 350 of the family's 1831-position model. The record is from RNAcentral. Lineage: Eukaryota; Evosea; Eumycetozoa; Stemonitida; Stemonitidae.